RNAcentral lists this transfer RNA (73 nucleotides) under Canis lupus familiaris (dog). It matches the Rfam family "tRNA". From Rfam's summary of the family: Transfer RNA (tRNA) molecules are approximately 80 nucleotides in length. Lineage: Eukaryota; Metazoa; Chordata; Mammalia; Carnivora; Canidae. RNAcentral also lists the same sequence under 1 other name. The record is from Rfam by way of RNAcentral.
GCCUGGCUGGCUCAGUUGGAGGAGUCUGCAACUCUUGAUCUCAGGGUUAUGGGUUUGAAUCCCAUGUUGGGUG